This 216-nucleotide ribosomal RNA is filed under the name Lutjanus argentimaculatus (mangrove red snapper). Its description in RNAcentral is "partial 16S ribosomal RNA". Lineage: Eukaryota; Metazoa; Chordata; Actinopteri; Lutjaniformes; Lutjanidae. The record is from RNAcentral.
GCCCAACAGCUAGCCCCCUCCACCAACACCAACAAACCCACAUCAAUAACCCCUAAUACCCUUAAACCACCCCUGAACAAACCAUUUUCCCCCCUUAGUACAGGCGAUAGAAAAGGAACUGCGGAGCAAUAGAAAAAGUACCGUAAGGGAAAGCUGAAAGAGAAAUGAAACAACCCAGUAAAGCACAUAAAAGCAGAGACUCAUCCUCGUACCUUU